GACGAACGCUGGCGGCGUGCUUAACACAUGCAAGUCGAACGGAAAGGCCCUGCUUUUGUGGGGUGCUCGAGUGGCGAACGGGUGAGUAACACGUGAGUAACCUGCCCUUGACUUUGGGAUGACUUCAGGAAACUGGGGCUAAUACCGGAUAGGAGCUCCUGCUGCAUGGUGGGGGUUGGAAAGUUUCGGCGGUUGGGGAUGGACUCGCGGCUUAUCAGCUUGUUGGUGGGGUAGUGGCUUACCAAGGCUUUGACGGGUAGCCGGCCUGAGAGGGUGACCGGCCACAUUGGGACUGAGAUACGGCCCAGACUCCUACGGGAGGCAGCAGUGGGGAAUAUUGCACAAUGGGCGGAAGCCUGAUGCAGCAACGCCGCGUGCGGGAUGACGGCCUUCGGGUUGUAAACCGCUUUCGCCUGUGACGAAGCGUGAGUGACGGUAAUGGGUAAAGAAGCACCGGCUAACUACGUGCCAGCAGCCGCGGUGAUACGUAGGGUGCGAGCGUUGUCCGGAUUUAUUGGGCGUAAAGGGCUCGUAGGUGGUUGAUCGCGUCGGAAGUGUAAUCUUGGGGCUUAACCCUGAGCGUGCUUUCGAUACGGGUUGACUUGAGGAAGGUAGGGGAGAAUGGAAUUCCUGGUGGAGCGGUGGAAUGCGCAGAUAUCAGGAGGAACACCAGUGGCGAAGGCGGUUCUCUGGGCCUUUCCUGACGCUGAGGAGCGAAAGCGUGGGGAGCGAACAGGCUUAGAUACCCUGGUAGUCCACGCUGUAAACGGUGGGUACUAGGUGUGGGGUCCAUUCCACGGGUUCCGUGCCGUAGCUAACGCUUUAAGUACCCCGCCUGGGGAGUACGGCCGCAAGGCUAAAACUCAAAGGAAUUGACGGGGCCCCGCACAAGCGGCGGAGCAUGCGGAUUAAUUCGAUGCAACGCGUAGAACCUUACCUGGGUUUGACAUGGAUCGGGAGUGCUCAGAGAUGGGUGUGCCUCUUUUGGGGUCGGUUCACAGGUGGUGCAUGGCUGUCGUCAGCUCGUGUCGUGAGAUGUUGGGUUAAGUCCCGCAACGAGCGCAACCCUUGUUCACUGUUGCCAGCACGUUAUGGUGGGGACUCAGUGGAGACCGCCGGGGUCAACUCGGAGGAAGGUGGGGAUGACGUCAAGUCAUCAUGCCCCUUAUGUCCAGGGCUUCACGCAUGCUACAAUGGCUGGUACAGAGAGUGGCGAGCCUGUGAGGGUGAGCGAAUCUCGGAAAGCCGGUCUCAGUUCGGAUUGGGGUCUGCAACUCGACCUCAUGAAGUCGGAGUCGCUAGUAAUCGCAGAUCAGCAACGCUGCGGUGAAUACGUUCCCGGGGCU
Molecule: ribosomal RNA, 1346 nt
Filed under: uncultured bacterium
Lineage: Bacteria
Description: partial 16S ribosomal RNA
Rfam family: Bacterial small subunit ribosomal RNA
Source: RNAcentral